CGGGGUAUAGCGCAGUUUGGUAGCGCGCCUGCCUUGGGAGCAGGAGGCCGGGGGUUCAAAUCCCUCUGCCCCGACCA
Molecule: transfer RNA, 77 nt
Filed under: Desulfitobacterium dehalogenans
Lineage: Bacteria; Bacillati; Bacillota; Clostridia; Eubacteriales; Desulfitobacteriaceae
Also listed under: 24 other names
Description: tRNA-Pro
Rfam family: tRNA
About the family: Transfer RNA (tRNA) molecules are approximately 80 nucleotides in length. Their secondary structure includes four short double-helical elements and three loops (D, anti-codon, and T loops). Further hydrogen bonds mediate the characteristic L-shaped molecular structure. tRNAs have two regions of fundamental functional importance: the anti-codon, which is responsible for specific mRNA codon recognition, and the 3' end, to which the tRNAs corresponding amino acid is attached (by aminoacyl-tRNA synthetases). tRNAs cope with the degeneracy of the genetic code in two manners: having more than one tRNA (with a specific anti-codon) for a particular amino acid; and 'wobble' base-pairing, i.e. permitting non-standard base-pairing at the 3rd anti-codon position.
Source: RNAcentral